CCUACGGGGGCUGCAGUGGGGAAUACUGGACAAUGGGGGGAACCCUGAUCCAGCCAUGCCGCGUGUGUGAAGAAGGCCCUCGGGUUGUAAAGCACUUUCAGUGAGGAAGAACGCCUGGUGGUUAAUACCCAUCAGGAAAGACAUCACUCACAGAAGAAGCACCGGCUAACUCCGUGCCAGCAGCCGCGGUAAUACGGAGGGUGCGAGCGUUAAUCGGAAUUACUGGGCGUAAAGCGCGCGUAGGUGGCUUGAUAAGCCGGUUGUGAAAGCCCCGGGCUCAACCUGGGAACGGCAUCCGGAACUGUCAAGCUAGAGUGCAGGAGAGGAAGGUAGAAUUCCCGGUGUAGCGGUGAAAUGCGUAGAGAUCGGGAGGAAUACCAGUGGCGAAGGCGGCCUUCUGGACUGACACUGACACUGAGGUGCGAAAGCGUGGGUAGCAAACAGGAUUAGAUACCCUUGUAGUC
Molecule: ribosomal RNA, 464 nt
Filed under: Vreelandella stevensii
Lineage: Bacteria; Pseudomonadati; Pseudomonadota; Gammaproteobacteria; Oceanospirillales; Halomonadaceae
Description: partial 16S ribosomal RNA
Rfam family: Bacterial small subunit ribosomal RNA
Source: RNAcentral